AAGGUGAGUAUUGCUUUAGUAAUGGCCUAGUUCGAAGUCAUUGCUUCUGCGAUACUUAUCUUGC
This is a non-coding RNA of Cordylochernes scorpioides, 64 nucleotides long. NCBI's taxonomy places the organism in Eukaryota, Metazoa, Arthropoda, Arachnida, Pseudoscorpiones, Chernetidae. The record is from the annotation of a GenBank genome assembly.